This 721-nucleotide ribosomal RNA is filed under the name uncultured Propionibacteriaceae bacterium. RNAcentral's name for it is "bacterial SSU rRNA". It matches the Rfam family "Bacterial small subunit ribosomal RNA", at positions 78 to 814 of the family's 1533-position model. The record is from RNAcentral. Lineage: Bacteria; Bacillati; Actinomycetota; Actinomycetes; Propionibacteriales; Propionibacteriaceae.
UUUUGUGGGGUGCUCGAGUGGCGAACGGGUGAGUAACACGUGAGUAACCUGCCCUUGACUUUGGGAUAACUUCAGGAAACUGGGGCUAAUACCGGAUAGGAGCUCCUGCUGCAUGGUGGGGGUUGGAAAGUUUCGGCGGUUGGGGAUGGACUCGCGGCUUAUCAGCUUGUUGGUGGGGUAGUGGCUUACCAGGCUUUGACGGGUAGCCGGCCUGAGAGGGUGACCGGCCACAUUGGGACUGAGAUACGGCCCAGACUCCUACGGGAGGCAGCAGUGGGGAAUAUUGCACAAUGGGCGGAAGCCUGAUGCAGCAACGCCGCGUGCGGGAUGACGGCCUUCGGGUUGUAAACCGCUUUCGCCUGUGACGAAGCGUGAGUGACGGUAAUGGGUAAAGAAGCACCGGCUAACUACGUGCCAGCAGCCGCGGUGAUACGUAGGGUGCGAGCGUUGUCCGGAUUUAUUGGGCGUAAAGGGCUCGUAGGUGGUUGAUCGCGUCGGAAGUGUAAUCUUGGGGCUUAACCCUGAGCGUGCUUUCGAUACGGGUUGACUUGAGGAAGGUAGGGGAGAAUGGAAUUCCUGGUGGAGCGGUGGAAUGCGCAGAUAUCAGGAGGAACACCAGUGGCGAAGGCGGUUCUCUGGGCCUUUCCUGACGCUGAGGAGCGAAAGCGUGGGGAGCGAACAGGCUUAGAUACCCUGGUAGUCCACGCUGUAAACGGUGGGU